This 490-nucleotide ribosomal RNA is filed under the name uncultured bacterium. Its description in RNAcentral is "partial 16S ribosomal RNA". It matches the Rfam family "Bacterial small subunit ribosomal RNA", at positions 30 to 507 of the family's 1533-position model. The record is from RNAcentral.
AUUGAACGCUGGCGGCAUGCCUUACACAUGCAAGUCGAACGGCAGCAUGAUCUUGCUUGCUAGAUCGAUGGCGAGUGGCGAACGGGUUAGUAAUACACCGGCACGUGCCCGGUAGUGGGGGAUAACUAGUCGAAAGAUUAGCUAAUACCGCAUACGACCUGAGGGUGAAGGUGGGUGACCGCAAGGCCUCAUGCUGUAGGAGCGGCCGAUGUCUGAUUAGCUAGUUGGUGGGGUAAAGGCUCACCAAGGCGACGAUCAGUAGCUGGUCUGAGAGGACGAUCAGCCACACUGGGACUGAGACACGGCCCAGACUCCUACGGGAGGCAGCAGUGGGGAAUUUUGGACAAUGGGCGAAAGCCUGAUCCAGCAAUGCCGCGUGUGUGAAGAAGGCCUUCGGGUUGUAAAGCACUUUUGUCCGGAAAGAAAUGGCUCUGGUUAAUACCUGGGGUCGAUGACGGUACCGGAAGAAUAAGGACCGGCUAACUACGUG